This 2868-nucleotide ribosomal RNA is filed under the name Salmonella enterica subsp. enterica serovar Newport str. CVM79_1357. RNAcentral's name for it is "bacterial LSU rRNA". It matches the Rfam family "Bacterial large subunit ribosomal RNA". The record is from RNAcentral. Lineage: Bacteria; Pseudomonadati; Pseudomonadota; Gammaproteobacteria; Enterobacterales; Enterobacteriaceae.
GGGUUGUGAGGUUAAGCGACUAAGCGUACACGGUGGAUGCCCUGGCAGUCAGAGGCGAUGAAGGGCGUGCUAAUCUGCGAUAAGCGCCGGUAAGGUGAUAUGAACCGUUAUAACCGGCGAUACCCGAAUGGGGAAACCCAGUGUGAUUCGUCACACUAUCAUUAACUGAAUCCAUAGGUUAAUGAGGCGAACCGGGGGAACUGAAACAUCUAAGUACCCCGAGGAAAAGAAAUCAACCGAGAUUCCCCCAGUAGCGGCGAGCGAACGGGGAGGAGCCCAGAGCCUGAAUCAGCAUGUGUGUUAGUGGAAGCGUCUGGAAAGGCGCGCGAUACAGGGUGACAGCCCCGUACACAAAAGCGCAUGUGUUGUGAGCUCGAUGAGUAGGGCGGGACACGUGGUAUCCUGUCUGAAUAUGGGGGGACCAUCCUCCAAGGCUAAAUACUCCUGACUGACCGAUAGUGAACCAGUACCGUGAGGGAAAGGCGAAAAGAACCCCGGCGAGGGGAGUGAAAAAGAACCUGAAACCGUGUACGUACAAGCAGUGGGAGCACCCUUUGGGGUGUGACUGCGUACCUUUUGUAUAAUGGGUCAGCGACUUAUAUUCUGUAGCAAGGUUAACCGAAUAGGGGAGCCGGAGGGAAACCGAGUCUUAAUUGGGCGUUAAGUUGCAGGGUAUAGACCCGAAACCCGGUGAUCUAGCCAUGGGCAGGUUGAAGGUUGGGUAACACUAACUGGAGGACCGAACCGACUAAUGUUGAAAAAUUAGCGGAUGACCUGUGGCUGGGGGUGAAAGGCCAAUCAAACCGGGAGAUAGCUGGUUCUCCCCGAAAGCUAUUUAGGUAGCGCCUCGUGAAUUCAUCUCCGGGGGUAGAGCACUGUUUCGGCUAGGGGGCCAUCCCGGCUUACCAACCCGAUGCAAACUGCGAAUACCGGAGAAUGUUAUCACGGGAGACACACGGCGGGUGCUAACGUCCGUCGUGAAGAGGGAAACAACCCAGACCGCCAGCUAAGGUCCCAAAGUCAUGGUUAAGUGGGAAACGAUGUGGGAAGGCCCAGACAGCCAGGAUGUUGGCUUAGAAGCAGCCAUCAUUUAAAGAAAGCGUAAUAGCUCACUGGUCGAGUCGGCCUGCGCGGAAGAUGUAACGGGGCUAAACCAUGCACCGAAGCUGCGGCAGCGANNUGCUGGAGGUAUCAGAAGUGCGAAUGCUGACAUAAGUAACGAUAAAGCGGGUGAAAAGCCCGCUCGCCGGAAGACCAAGGGUUCCUGUCCAACGUUAAUCGGGGCAGGGUGAGUCGACCCCUAAGGCGAGGCCGAAAGGCGUAGUCGAUGGGAAACGGGUUAAUAUUCCCGUACUUGGUGUUACUGCGAAGGGGGGACGGAGAAGGCUAUGUUGGCCGGGCGACGGUUGUCCCGGUUUAAGCGUGUAGGUGUGUGUUCCAGGUAAAUCCGGUUCACUUUAACACUGAGGCGUGACGACGAGGCACUACGGUGCUGAAGCAACAAAUGCCCUGCUUCCAGGAAAAGCCUCUAAGCAUCAGGUAACAUCAAAUCGUACCCCAAACCGACACAGGUGGUCAGGUAGAGAAUACCAAGGCGCUUGAGAGAACUCGGGUGAAGGAACUAGGCAAAAUGGUGCCGUAACUUCGGGAGAAGGCACGCUGACACGUAGGUGAAGUGAUUUACUCAUGGAGCUGAAGUCAGUCGAAGAUACCAGCUGGCUGCAACUGUUUAUUAAAAACACAGCACUGUGCAAACACGAAAGUGGACGUAUACGGUGUGACGCCUGCCCGGUGCCGGAAGGUUAAUUGAUGGGGUCAGCGCAAGCGAAGCUCCUGAUCGAAGCCCCGGUAAACGGCGGCCGUAACUAUAACGGUCCUAAGGUAGCGAAAUUCCUUGUCGGGUAAGUUCCGACCUGCACGAAUGGCGUAAUGAUGGCCAGGCUGUCUCCACCCGAGACUCAGUGAAAUUGAACUCGCUGUGAAGAUGCAGUGUACCCGCGGCAAGACGGAAAGACCCCGUGAACCUUUACUAUAGCUUGACACUGAACAUUGAGCCUUGAUGUGUAGGAUAGGUGGGAGGCUUUGAAGUGUGGACGCCAGUCUGCAUGGAGCCGACCUUGAAAUACCACCCUUUAAUGUUUGAUGUUCUAACGUGGACCCGUGAUCCGGGUUGCGGACAGUGUCUGGUGGGUAGUUUGACUGGGGCGGUCUCCUCCUAAAGAGUAACGGAGGAGCACGAAGGUUGGCUAAUCCUGGUCGGACAUCAGGAGGUUAGUGCAAUGGCAUAAGCCAGCUUGACUGCGAGCGUGACGGCGCGAGCAGGUGCGAAAGCAGGUCAUAGUGAUCCGGUGGUUCUGAAUGGAAGGGCCAUCGCUCAACGGAUAAAAGGUACUCCGGGGAUAACAGGCUGAUACCGCCCAAGAGUUCAUAUCGACGGCGGUGUUUGGCACCUCGAUGUCGGCUCAUCACAUCCUGGGGCUGAAGUAGGUCCCAAGGGUAUGGCUGUUCGCCAUUUAAAGUGGUACGCGAGCUGGGUUUAGAACGUCGUGAGACAGUUCGGUCCCUAUCUGCCGUGGGCGCUGGAGAACUGAGGGGGGCUGCUCCUAGUACGAGAGGACCGGAGUGGACGCAUCACUGGUGUUCGGGUUGUCAUGCCAAUGGCACUGCCCGGUAGCUAAAUGCGGAAGAGAUAAGUGCUGAAAGCAUCUAAGCACGAAACUUGCCCCGAGAUGAGUUCUCCCUGAGACUUAGAGUCUCCUGAAGGAACGUUGAAGACGACGACGUUGAUAGGCCGGGUGUGUAAGCGCAGCGAUGCGUUGAGCUAACCGGUACUAAUGAACCGUGAGGCUUAACCUUACAACGCCGAAG